This 661-nucleotide ribosomal RNA is filed under the name Nocardioides sp. Its description in RNAcentral is "bacterial SSU rRNA". It matches the Rfam family "Bacterial small subunit ribosomal RNA", at positions 86 to 761 of the family's 1533-position model. The record is from RNAcentral. Lineage: Bacteria; Bacillati; Actinomycetota; Actinomycetes; Propionibacteriales; Nocardioidaceae.
GGUACUCGAGCGGCGAACGGGUGAGUAACACGUGAGUAAUCUGCCCCAGGCUCUGGGAUAGCCACCGGAAACGGUGAUUAAUACCGGAUACGACAACCGAUUGCAUGAUCUGGUUGUGGAAAGUUUUUCGGCCUGGGAUGUGCUCGCGGCCUAUCAGCUUGUUGGUGAGGUAAUGGCUCACCAAGGCUUCGACGGGUAGCCGGCCUGAGAGGGUGACCGGCCACACUGGGACUGAGACACGGCCCAGACUCCUACGGGAGGCAGCAGUGGGGAAUAUUGGACAAUGGGCGGAAGCCUGAUCCAGCAACGCCGCGUGAGGGAUGACGGCCUUCGGGUUGUAAACCUCUUUCAGCACAGACGAAGCGAAAGUGACGGUAUGUGCAGAAGAAGGACCGGCCAACUACGUGCCAGCAGCCGCGGUAAUACGUAGGGUCCGAGCGUUGUCCGGAAUUAUUGGGCGUAAAGGGCUCGUAGGCGGUCUGUCGCGUCGGGAGUGAAAACCAGGUGCUUAACACCUGGCCUGCUUUCGAUACGGGCAGACUAGAGGUACUCAGGGGAGAAUGGAAUUCCUGGUGUAGCGGUGAAAUGCGCAGAUAUCAGGAGGAACACCGGUGGCGAAGGCGGUUCUCUGGGAGUAUCCUGACGCUGAGGAGCGAAAGUG